RNAcentral lists this ribosomal RNA (427 nucleotides) under uncultured microorganism. RNAcentral describes it as "bacterial SSU rRNA". It matches the Rfam family "Bacterial small subunit ribosomal RNA", at positions 9 to 432 of the family's 1533-position model. The record is from RNAcentral.
GAGUUUGAUCCUGGCUCAGAUUGAGCGCUGGCGGCAUGCCUUACACAUGCAAGUCGAACGGUAACAGGUCUUCGGAUGCUGACGAGUGGCGAACGGGUGAGUAUUACAUCGGAACGUGCCCAGACGUGGGGGGAUAACGAGGCGAAAGCUUUGCUAAUACCGCAUACGAUCUAAGGAUGAAAGCAGGGGACCGCAAGGCCUUGCGCGUUUGGAGCGGCCGAUGGCAGAUUAGGUAGUUGGUGGGAUAAAAGCUUACCAAGCCGACGAUCUGUAGCUGGUCUGAGAGGACGACCAGCCACACUGGGACUGAGACACGGCCCAGACUCCUACGGGAGGCAGCAGUGGGAAUUUGGACAAUGGGCGAAAGCCUGAUCCAGCAAUCGCCGCGUGCGAGGAUAGAACGGUCCGUUCGGGUUACGGUUAAACG